Molecule: ribosomal RNA, 253 nt
Filed under: uncultured bacterium
Lineage: Bacteria
Description: partial 16S ribosomal RNA
Rfam family: Bacterial small subunit ribosomal RNA
Source: RNAcentral
CACGUAGGGCGCAAGCGUUGUUCGGAAUUACUGGGCGUAAAGGGCUCGUAGGCGGCCAACUAAGUCGGACGUGAAAUCCCUCGGCUUAACCGGGGAACUGCGUCCGAUACUGGAUGGCUUGAGUUUGGGAGAGGGAUGCGGAAUUCCAGGUGUAGCGGUGAAAUGCGUAGAUAUCUGGAGGAACACCGGUGGCGAAGGCGGCAUCCUGGACCAACACUGACGCUGAGGAGCGAAAGCCAGGGGAGCAAACGGG